Molecule: ribosomal RNA, 471 nt
Filed under: uncultured bacterium
Lineage: Bacteria
Description: bacterial SSU rRNA
Rfam family: Bacterial small subunit ribosomal RNA
Source: RNAcentral
GCAGCGGAUCCUACGGGAGGCAGCAAUGGGGAAUAUUGCACAAUGGGCGCAAGCCUGAUGCAGCCAUGCCGCGUGUAUGAAGAAGGCCUUCGGGUUGUAAAGUACUUUCAGCAGUGAGGAAGGUGGGUAUGUUAAUAGCAUACUCAUUUGACGUUAGCUGCAGAAGAAGCACCGGCUAACUCCGUGCCAGCAGCCGCGGUAAUACGGAGGGUGCGAGCGUUAAUCGGAAUUACUGGGCGUAAAGCGCAUGCAGGUGGUUUGUUAAGUCAGAUGUGAAAGCCCGGGGCUCAACCUCGGAAUUGCAUUUGAAACUGGCAAACUAGAGUACUGUAGAGGGGGUAGAAUUUCAGGUGUAGCGGUGAAAUGCGUAGAGAUCUGAAGGAAUACCGGUGGCGAAGGCGGCCCCCUGGACAGAUACUGACACUCAGAUGCGAAAGCGUGGGGAGCAAACAGGAUUAGAUACCCUGGUAG